This 420-nucleotide long non-coding RNA is filed under the name Pogona vitticeps (central bearded dragon). Its description in RNAcentral is "lncRNA (ENSPVIG00000018760.1)". Lineage: Eukaryota; Metazoa; Chordata; Lepidosauria; Squamata; Agamidae. The record is from RNAcentral.
AGAGGCCUUUUAAAUAAACCGAUUAUAUAAUGAUGUAAAGUACAUGCCAUUUCAAAGAACAGGCUAUGGCAUCAGAGAGAAUUUAGCAAGCCGAAGAGUUUUCACUUUUCAGAUUUGAAUGUAACCUAGCCGGAACACGAUAUUAACUGGCAGGUUAUGCAGAGAAUGGGAGUGCCUCAAACCUUUUCAAAGCUGGACUACAGGGAAGAUCUUUGCAUUCAGAAAAUCAGAUUCUAUCCGUGGCUUACGUUUGUGCAGAUCCUUCUCAUGGUGGUAAGUAAAUGGGAGGAAAUGUCCUGGGUUGUUGUAUUUACCUUGUGGUGCUUCAAUGUGGGGGUGGCAAUGUGGCCUUCUUGGAAAGUUCUUUCUGUGUAUUUCUAUGAUUUCUCUGGAAAGAAAAAAAAUGCCUUGAGGAACUGA